Molecule: ribosomal RNA, 465 nt
Filed under: uncultured bacterium
Lineage: Bacteria
Description: partial 16S ribosomal RNA
Rfam family: Bacterial small subunit ribosomal RNA
Source: RNAcentral
GACGAACGCUGGCGGCGUGCUUAACACAUGCGAGUCGAACGGAAAGGCCCUGCUUGCCGGGUACUCGAGUGGCGAACGGGUGAGUAACACGUGGGUGAUCUGCCCUGCACUUCGGUAUAAGCCUGGGAAACUGGGUCUAAUACCGGAUAGGAGCCAUUUUUAGUGUGAUGGUUGGAAAGUUUUUUCGGUGUAGGAUGAGCUCGCGGCCUAUCAGCUUGUUGGUGGGGUAAUGGCCUACCAAGGCGGCGACGGGUAGCCGGCCUGAGAGGGUGGACGGCCACAUUGGGACUGAGAUACGGCCCAGACUCCUACGGGAGGCAGCAGUGGGGAAUAUUGCACAAUGGGCGCAAGCCUGAUGCAGCGACGCCGCGUGGGGGAGGACGGCCUUCGGGUUGUAAACGCCUUUCGCUAGGGACGAAGCUUUUUGUGACGGUACCUAGAUAAGAAGCACCGGCUAACUACGUG